This 253-nucleotide ribosomal RNA is filed under the name uncultured bacterium. RNAcentral describes it as "partial 16S ribosomal RNA". It matches the Rfam family "Bacterial small subunit ribosomal RNA", at positions 524 to 776 of the family's 1533-position model. The record is from RNAcentral.
UACGGGGGGGGCAAGCGUUGUUCGGAAUUACUGGGCGUAAAGGGUUCGUAGGUGGCCAACUCAGUCAGACGUGAAAUCCCUCAGCUUAACUGGGGAACUGCGUCUGAUACUAGAUGGCUCGAGUGCAGGAGAGGAACGCGGAAUUCCAGGUGUAGCGGUGAAAUGCGUAGAUAUCUGGAGGAACACCGGUGGCGAAGGCGGCGUUCUGGACUGCAACUGACACUGAGGAACGAAAGCGUGGGGAGCAAACAGG